CCUACGGGGGACAGCAGUGAGGAAUAUUGGUCAAUGGACGCAAGUCUGAACCAGCCAUGCCGCGUGCAGGAAGACGGCUCUAUGAGUUGUAAACUGCUUUUGUACGAGGGUAAACGCAGAUACGCGUAUCUGUCUGAAAGUAUCGUACGAAUAAGGAUCGGCUAACUCCGUGCCAGCAGCCGCGGUAAUACGGAGGAUUCAAGCGUUAUCCGGAUUUAUUGGGUUUAAAGGGUGCGUAGGCGGUCGGAUAAGUUAGAGGUGAAAUCCCGAGGCUCAACUUCGGAAUUGCCUCUGAUACUGUUCGGCUAGAGAGUAGUUGCGGUAGGCGGAAUGUAUGGUGUAGCGGUGAAAUGCUUAGAGAUCAUACAGAACACCGAUUGCGAAGGCAGCCUACCAAGCUACUUCUGACGUUGAGGCACGAAAGCGUGGGGAGCAAACAGGAUUAGAUACCCUUGUAGUC
RNAcentral lists this ribosomal RNA (460 nucleotides) under uncultured bacterium. Its description in RNAcentral is "partial 16S ribosomal RNA". It matches the Rfam family "Bacterial small subunit ribosomal RNA", at positions 338 to 795 of the family's 1533-position model. The record is from RNAcentral.